AUUGAACGCUGGCGGCAGGCCUAACACAUGCAAGUCGAGCGGAUGAAGGGAGCUUGCUCCUGGAUUCAGCGGCGGACGGGUGAGUAAUGCCUAGGAAUCUGCCUGGUAGUGGGGGAUAACGUCCGGAAACGGGCGCUAAUACCGCAUACGUCCUGAGGGAGAAAGUUGUGGAUCUUCGGACCUCACGCUAUCAGAUGAGCCUAGGUCGGAUUAGCUAGUUGGUGGGGUAAAGGCCUACCAAGGCGACGAUCCGUAACUGGUCUGAGAGGAUGAUCAGUCACAAUGGAAAUGAGACACGGUCCAGACUCCUAAGGGAGGCAGCAGUGGGGAAUAUUGGACAAUGGGAGAAAGCCUGAUCCAGCCAUGACGCGUGUGUGAAGAAGGUCUUCGGAUUGUAAAGCACUUUAAGUUGGGAGGAAGGGCAGUAAGUUAAUAACUUGCUGUUUUGACGUUAACAACAGAAUAAGCACCGGCUAACUUCGUG
RNAcentral lists this ribosomal RNA (484 nucleotides) under uncultured bacterium. RNAcentral's name for it is "partial 16S ribosomal RNA". It matches the Rfam family "Bacterial small subunit ribosomal RNA", at positions 30 to 507 of the family's 1533-position model. The record is from RNAcentral.